GUAGGGAAUAUUGGGCAAUGGAGGCAACUCUGACCCAGCCAUGCCGCGUGCAGGAAGACGGUCCUCUGGAUUGUAAACUGCUUUUAUUCGGGAAUAAACCUCUUUACGUGUAGGGAGCUGAAGGUACCGAAGGAAUAAGCACCGGCUAACUCCGUGCCAGCAGCCGCGGUAAUACGGAGGGUGCAAGCGUUAUCCGGAAUCAUUGGGUUUAAAGGGUCCGCAGGCGGGCUAUCAAGUCAGAGGUGAAAUCCCACAGCUUAACUGUGGAACUGCCUUUGAAACUGAUGGUCUUGAAUUAAGUGGGCGUUGGCGGAAUAUGACAUGUAGCGGUGAAAUGCAUAGAUAUGUCAUGGAACACCGAAAGCGAAGGCAGCUAACGAUACUUAUAUUGACGCUCAUGGACGAAAGCGUGGGUAGCGAACAGGAUUAGAUACCCGAGUAGUCC
RNAcentral lists this ribosomal RNA (445 nucleotides) under uncultured bacterium. Its description in RNAcentral is "partial 16S ribosomal RNA". It matches the Rfam family "Bacterial small subunit ribosomal RNA", at positions 354 to 796 of the family's 1533-position model. The record is from RNAcentral.